GAUGAACGCUGGCGGCGUGCUUAACACAUGCAAGUCGAGCGAGAAGUUUUGAAAAGAUUCUUCGGAUGAAAUUUAAAAUGGAAAGCGGCGGACGGGUGAGUAACGCGUAGGCAACCUGCCCCAUACAAAGGGAUAGCAUUUGGAAACGAAUAUUAAUACCUUAUGAAACUUAACUAGUGCAUGCUAGGUAGGUCAAAGAUUUAUCGGUAUGGGAUGGGCCUGCGUCUGAUUAGCUAGUUGGUGAGGUAACGGCUCACCAAGGCGACGAUCAGUAGCCGACCUGAGAGGGUGAACGGCCACAUUGGAACUGAGACACGGUCCAAACUCCUACGGGAGGCAGCAGUGGGGAAUAUUGCACAAUGGGGGAAACCCUGAUGCAGCAACGCCGCGUGAACGAUGAAGGCCUUUGGGUCGUAAAGUUCUGUUCUAGGUGAUGAAAACUGACAGUAACCUAGGAGAAAGCCCCGGCUAACUCCGUGCCAGCAGCCGCGGUAAUACGGAGGGGGCAAGCGUUAUCCGGAAUUAUUGGGCGUAAAGGGUACGUAGGUGGCCUUUUAAGCGUAGGGUAUAAGGCAAUGGCUCAACCAUUGUUCGCCCUAUGAACUGGAAGGCUUGAGUGCAGGAGAGGAAAGCGGAAUUCCUAGUGUAGCGGUGGAAUGCAUAGAUAUUAGGAGGAACAUCAGCGGCGAAGCGGCUUUCUGGACUGCAACUGACACUGAGGUACGAAAGCGUGGGGGAGCAAACAGG
This 747-nucleotide ribosomal RNA is filed under the name uncultured bacterium. RNAcentral's name for it is "bacterial SSU rRNA". It matches the Rfam family "Bacterial small subunit ribosomal RNA", at positions 28 to 776 of the family's 1533-position model. The record is from RNAcentral.